Molecule: long non-coding RNA, 582 nt
Filed under: Homo sapiens (human)
Lineage: Eukaryota; Metazoa; Chordata; Mammalia; Primates; Hominidae
Description: HSALNT0121650
Source: RNAcentral
CAGGAGAACCCUGUCCCCACAGGAUCUUCGUUCGGAGGACUGAACUUGAGAUGUUACCGACACUCCCUGCCUCUCUCUGGGCUGCAACCUGUGCUUCAGCCAUGAAGACUUGCUAGGAGUCCCCUACAUUUCAUUGUCUUUAUCCCCUUUGAGACUUUGAAAGUGACAUUUUCAAGUCUAGAGUAUCAUUUAAAGUUUUGGUGGAGAGAUUUAAUGAAUGCAUAUAUAUGUGCAAAUAUAUAUUUAUUUAUGCAAAGUAGUUUAAUUUUUCCUUUGAAGGUUUUGUUGUUUGUCUUCUUGGAGCUAGAAAUAAGUUUUCUGAACCUCUGGGCUCUUUGAAGUCUGGUCAUGCUUGGGGAUAACUGACAGUGUCAUCGAAGCCACUCUUUUAAGAAGAUUGAAGGUACAAGAUGUGAGUUAUAUUGAGUUAUUUGGACGAGUUUUUCAAAUAUUGAUCAUCCAGCAAACUCAUACCUCGUCUCCUACUCUCUGUGCCAUUUUCUCCCUCCCACUUUUGGUCUCUUUUCUUUCCUCAUCUUUCCUCAUAUCAUUGUCCAGUUUUAGCAAAAGUAUCAGAGGAUG